Molecule: ribosomal RNA, 917 nt
Filed under: uncultured bacterium
Lineage: Bacteria
Description: bacterial SSU rRNA
Rfam family: Bacterial small subunit ribosomal RNA
Source: RNAcentral
ACGCUGGCGGCGUGCCUAAUACAUGCAAGUAGAACGCUGAAGGAGGAGCUUGCUUCUCCGGAUGAGUUGCGAACGGGUGAGUAACGCGUAGGUAACCUGCCUGGUAGCGGGGGAUAACUAUUGGAAACGAUAGCUAAUACCGCAUAAUAGUAGAUGUUGCAUGACAUUUGCUUAAAAGGUGCAAUUGCAUCACUACCAGAUGGACCUGCGUUGUAUUAGCUAGUUGGUGGGGUAACGGCUCACCAAGGCGACGAUACAUAGCCGACCUGAGAGGGUGAUCGGCCACACUGGGGCUGAGACACGGCCCAGGCUCCUACGGGAGGCAGCAGUAGGGAAUCUUCGGCAAUGGACGGAAGUCUGACCGAGCAACGCCGCGUGAGUGAAGAAGGUUUUCGGAUCGUAAAGCUCUGUUGUAAGAGAAGAACGAGUGUGAGAGUGGAAAGUUCACACUGUGACGGUAUCUUACCAGAAAGGGACGGCUAACUACGUGCCAGCAGCCGCGGUAAUACGUAGGUCCCGAGCGUUGUCCGGAUUUAUUGGGCGUAAAGCGAGCGCAGGCGGUUAGAUAAGUCUGAAGUUAAAGGCUGUGGCUUAACCAUAGUACGCUUUGGAAACUGUUUAACUUGAGUGCAAGAGGGGAGAGUGGAAUUCCAUGUGUAGCGGUGAAAUGCGUAGAUAUAUGGAGGAACACCGGUGGCGAAAGCGGCUCUCUGGCUUGUAACUGACGCUGAGGCUCGAAAGCGUGGGGAGCAAACAGGAUUAGAUACCCUGGUAGUCCACGCCGUAAACGAUGAGUGCUAGGUGUUAGACCCUUUCCGGGGUUUAGUGCCGCAGCUAACGCAUUAAGCACUCCGCCUGGGGAGUACGACCGCAAGGUUGAAACUCAAAGGAAUUGACGGGGGCCCGCACAAGCGGUG